Non-coding RNA from Agrilus planipennis (emerald ash borer), 161 nucleotides. The record is from Rfam. Lineage: Eukaryota; Metazoa; Arthropoda; Insecta; Coleoptera; Buprestidae.
ACUUUAAAUACUCUUAAAAUCCCUAUUGAGUCAUUUCCAUUGAACCUUCCCUGGUUUGAUCUCUCUACUCGAGGAGGGGUUUUAGUUGGUAGGCGCUUCGGCGAAUCCGACACUACCCCUAUUCAAGGGAUGCCUUUGAAGACUUCUCGUCCUCGGGGAAA